UACGAAGGGGGCGAGCGUUGUUCGGAUUUACUGGGCGUAAAGGGCGCGCAGGCGGCCAUUCAAGUCAGGCGUGAAAGCCCCGGGCUUAACCUGGGAGGUGCGCUUGGGACUGGAUGGCUAGAGAUCGGGAGAGGAGAGUGGAAUUCCCAGUGUAGAGGUGAAAUUCGUAGAUAUCAGGAGGAACACCAGUGGCGAAGGCGGCCUGCUGGGACAUGGCUGACGCUGAGGCGCGACAGCGUGGGGAGCAAACAGG
Molecule: ribosomal RNA, 253 nt
Filed under: uncultured bacterium
Lineage: Bacteria
Description: partial 16S ribosomal RNA
Rfam family: Bacterial small subunit ribosomal RNA
Source: RNAcentral